Nannospalax galili (Upper Galilee mountains blind mole rat) is the source of this 1254-nucleotide long non-coding RNA. RefSeq lists it as uncharacterized. The record is from RefSeq and is a predicted model, not a curated record. The transcript is spliced from 9 exons. Lineage: Eukaryota; Metazoa; Chordata; Mammalia; Rodentia; Spalacidae.
CCGAGGGCGGGGCGCACGGACGUUUCCGGGGAGCGGCAGGUGAGGCCGUAGGGGUUGCGAGGAGGCUUCGCGUCCCAGGGAAGCGGGCGGAAGAGGAACCUGCAGUGGGCCUCCCCUGCCGAAGCCGGACGUGGGCUCUCCCUGUUGCCGCAGAUACACCUGACUGCCUCCUGAGUGCUGGGAUUAAAGGCAGAGUUUAGGUAUUCCAGGUUGACCUGGUACUCGUGAUCCUCCUGCUCAGCUCCAGAGUGUCAGGGUUACAGAAGGCCCACCAUGCUCUGCCUGGGAAGACCUUGAGAAUUAGCUGUUAGAAAACAUUCUGUUUGACCCUGAACCAUGGGCACUGCUUGCCACCCUACCUUCAUCCACUGCUGACAGCUCACUCGUCACCCACUUCUUAGGUAGAAUUAAAUGGAGAUCACUAAAAUUCCAAAUCCCAGGCCAUAUCAUAUGCCACACCUAUGGAAUCUCUAAUUCUGAGGAUGGACCACAGGUAUCAGGAGUGUUUUGAUUCCCCAGGACAUUCCCAUGUGUAGACUUGUUUGGAAACCACUGAUCUGGACACAGCUGUUACAAGACUGUGAGGCAGUACAGAUGUGGCUUGUUUUCUGCCUCUGCCCAGCCUUGCCUGUGGUGCUCUUGCUCCAAACCUGGAAUCAACCAUUGUUUCCCCCUGGAAGCUCUGAUUUCCUUCAGUGUUUCCUUCCUUGAGUUUCUUCCCUGGCUUCCUUGGAUGAUGGACUGCAACCUAUGAUUGUGAUAUAGUCAACCAAGGCUUACCUGCUUCUUCAGCAACUUUCUGGACACUCUCUCAUUGACUACGGGGAUCUUAUUCUGGUCCCUAUCCAGAUUUUGAACAAAUCACAGGCUCUGUUCACCCUUGAGAGGUGAAGACUUCAGAGGGCCUGACCACCAGGGAGUUGCAGUGCACCAUCUUGGGAGUCUACAAUCAGAGUCUGAGUAAUGGAAGGAUAUGAAGACCCUGACUUCAAAGACUCUUGGUGUUAAGGGAGUGUGGAAACCCUAAAGACAGAGGAUAGCAUUUGUCUUAAGAAGAGAUGUCCAGGAACACUGUCCCCUGUUCUUUCCCUGGAGAGAGAAAAGCUGACCUGACCUUCACAGGGAUCAUCAGCUCCUAUGGUUGUCAUGCUUUUCAACAUGGAUGAGUGAUGGUUGACAUCCUCAAGUUUUCUCUUCUGCUCACACUUGAGGUUUUUCUUUUUCUUUUUAAUAAAGGAAACUAAAAGACCCAUG